CCGUCACACAAGAACCCUGCGUGACUCCACGUAUGCAAGCUGGAGGCCUCUUGCUGACAGGGUAGCGUUUCCCAAAGACACGGGAGCUGAGCUGGUGAGUCAUUUCAACAGCCCUUACACUCUCCUCUGACCAGAGACCACAUGACAUAUUAAUCAGCUGCUUGAAAGGUAUACCUGGCAGGCAUGUUUCCUGCAGCCUGGAAGAUGCUGACCUCGUCAGCUUUGAAACAUCAAAGGGC
This 239-nucleotide long non-coding RNA is filed under the name Homo sapiens (human). RNAcentral describes it as "HSALNT0377691". The record is from RNAcentral. Lineage: Eukaryota; Metazoa; Chordata; Mammalia; Primates; Hominidae.